RNAcentral lists this long non-coding RNA (1236 nucleotides) under Homo sapiens (human). Its description in RNAcentral is "non-protein coding lnc-PLEKHG6-3:4". The record is from RNAcentral. Lineage: Eukaryota; Metazoa; Chordata; Mammalia; Primates; Hominidae.
ACUCGGCUUCUGAGCCAGAUCCUGUCAGGACACCUUCUUCAACCUGCCAAGCGGGGACCCACCCAGGAGUUCCUAUUUUUUCCUGAUUUGCUCUGAGAAGAGGCCGAAACACCGGGAGGCCGGGUAUUGCGGUGUUGUCCAGGCUGGUCUGGAACUUCUGGCCUCAGCCCAUCCUUCGGUCUCGGCUCCCAAAGCGCUGGGAUUAUAGGCAUGAGCCACUGCCCCCGCGCCCACUUCUGCUUCUAAAAAAUGAGUUUCAGGGCCCUCUCCUGGUACCCCAAGCCAAGGCCAAGUGGGAACUGGAAGCUGGAACAGCCCAACUACCCACCCAGCCUGCAGAGGAGAGACCAGAAAUAGCCCUUAGCUUCCAGGGAGAUGGCGAGUGACCUGAUCCUGCGCCUGGUCGGCAGGCCCUUGAGAGCAGUGGCCUCCUCUGUCUUGCUCUCCACCCGAUCCUGACUUAGCCCAGCUUCUCCGGAGCUGCCUGCUCACGAGGCUGCACUCCCUCUGGCCUCUGCCACUCCCUCCCGGCUGGGCUGAAACUGCUCUUGUCCAAGUCACCAACAGCCUCUGCGCUGCCUGCCGAGCACAGUGGGUGCCUCGUCCUCUCCCCAUCGUCCUUCACAGUGGUCGCCUCCAUUGUAGGCCGCUCCCUGCUCAGUCAGCUCCUGGCACUGAGCCUCCUGCUUUUCCUCCCACUCUGUGCCUCCUCCACCCAACUCUAAGCAUCAGGGGCUGGUCUCGGCCCCCUUCCUCUCCAUUUGCAAUCUGCCUAGGCCUAGGCCAUCGCUUACCUUAGAUACCAUCCCCAGCACCUUGACUCCCAAAGUCUCUCUCCGGCACAGACUUCCAUUCAGCUCAAGACUCAUACCUGACUGCCUACUUGACCUCACCACUUGAAAGCCUCCAGGACCUUAAAACAGAGCCUCACUGUCCACCCGUCCCAUCAGCAGGCCCACACCACAUGACAGGCCAGCCCCACUGUGACCCACACCACAGAACACCCUUGCACUUUUCACUGCGCCCAAUCUCUCCUCCACCCCAGCCAGAGUGAUUCUGGAAUUUGUACCAUGUUCAUGUAUUUUAUAAUUUCUAAAACAUUAAUUAAAAAUAAAAAAAAACUUGAAAGCAGGGUAUCAAAGAGAUACCUGUACACCCAGGUUUAUAGCAGCGUUAUUUGCAGCAGCCAAAAGAUGGAAUCUGCCAGGGUACAGUGGCUCACACCCAUAAUCCCAG